RNAcentral lists this transfer RNA (77 nucleotides) under Hyphomicrobiales bacterium. Its description in RNAcentral is "tRNA-Pro". It matches the Rfam family "tRNA". Rfam says of the family: Transfer RNA (tRNA) molecules are approximately 80 nucleotides in length. Their secondary structure includes four short double-helical elements and three loops (D, anti-codon, and T loops). Lineage: Bacteria; Pseudomonadati; Pseudomonadota; Alphaproteobacteria; Hyphomicrobiales. RNAcentral also lists the same sequence under 2 other names. The record is from RNAcentral.
CUGGCUAUAGCGCAGCCUGGUAGCGCACCUGCUUUGGGAGCAGGUUGUCGCAGGUUCAAAUCCUGCUAGCCAGACCA